UACGUAGGGGGCAAGCGUUGUCCGGAUUUAUUGGGCGUAGAGAGCGUGUAGGCGGUUAGGUAGGUCCGUUGUGAAAACUCGAGGCUCAACCUCGAGACGCCGAUGGAAACCAUCUGACUAGAGUCCGGAAGAGGAGAGUGGAAUUCCUGGUGUAGCGGUGAAAUGCGCAGAUAUCAGGAAGAACACCCGUGGCUAAGGCGGCUCUCUAGUACGUGACUGACGCUGAGACGCGAAAGCGUGGGGAGCGAACAGG
Molecule: ribosomal RNA, 253 nt
Filed under: uncultured bacterium
Lineage: Bacteria
Description: partial 16S ribosomal RNA
Rfam family: Bacterial small subunit ribosomal RNA
Source: RNAcentral